AGUGGAUCACUCGGCUCGCGGGUCGAUGAAGAACGCAGCCAGCUGCGAGAUUUGGUGUGAAUUGCAGAACACUCAGAUCACUAAUUAUUCGAGCGCACAUUGCGGCUCCUUGCCCAUUUGGGGGGAGCUUCGCCUGUCCGAGGGUC
Molecule: ribosomal RNA, 146 nt
Filed under: Trichonephila clavipes
Lineage: Eukaryota; Metazoa; Arthropoda; Arachnida; Araneae; Nephilidae
Description: 5.8S ribosomal RNA
Rfam family: 5.8S ribosomal RNA
About the family: 5.8S ribosomal RNA (5.8S rRNA) is a component of the large subunit of the eukaryotic ribosome. It is transcribed by RNA polymerase I as part of the 45S precursor that also contains 18S and 28S rRNA.
Source: RNAcentral